Molecule: ribosomal RNA, 253 nt
Filed under: uncultured bacterium
Lineage: Bacteria
Description: partial 16S ribosomal RNA
Rfam family: Bacterial small subunit ribosomal RNA
Source: RNAcentral
UACGGGGGGAGCAAGCGUUGUUCGGAAUCACUGGGCGUAAAGGGAGUCUAGGCGGUUUGGUAAGUGGGAUGUGAAAUCCCCGGGCUCACCCCGGGACCUGCAUCCCAAACUGCUGAGCUUGAGUACAGGAGAGGGUGGGGGAAUUCCUGGUGUAGCGGUGAAAUGCGUAGAUAUCUGGAGGAACACCGGUGGCGAAGGCGGCGUUCUGGACUGCUACUGACACUGAGGAACGAAAGCCAGGGGAGCAAACGGG